GGGAUCGCCAAGCGUGUCGCGACCCCCUGAUCAUCCCUGAUAAGGAUGAGGUCCCUGGUUCAAAUCCAGGUGGGCCCA
This 78-nucleotide transfer RNA is filed under the name Acidimicrobiia bacterium. RNAcentral describes it as "tRNA-Ile". The record is from RNAcentral. Lineage: Bacteria; Bacillati; Actinomycetota; Acidimicrobiia.